AAGUCGUAACAAGGUUUCCGUAGGUGAACCUGCGGAAGGAUCAUUAACACGUAUCCAAACGUUAAAACCCCCCCCGUGAACCUUCAUCCUGCUCUUGUAACCCGCGUAGUUCGCAAUCUCUGAUAAAUCAUAGCCCGGAAAGUUGUAGUGAUUCAGAGACCUCUGGCUACGUGCGAACAUUGGAACAGUUACAAUCGAGCGGUAGUUCUAUAGGCAAUGUUUCCCCAAGCAGUCAGUGUCGGGCAGGAGCUUUGCCAAAGGGUCCCCAUGCCCCCUAAUAACCCCACAGUUUAAUGUGAAGCUCAAUGUAAUACAUUGGGUAAAAAAACCGAACAACUGUUAACAAUGGAUAUCUUGGUUCUC
Molecule: unclassified non-coding RNA, 363 nt
Filed under: fungal sp.
Lineage: Eukaryota; Fungi
Description: partial internal transcribed spacer region
Rfam family: Eukaryotic small subunit ribosomal RNA (bases 1-46)
Source: RNAcentral